CGAACGGGUGGAGUAACGCGUAGGUAACCUGCCUACUAGCGGGGGAUAACAUGGAAACGAUAGCUAAUACCGCAUAACAGCAUUUAACACAUGUUAGAUGCUUGAAAGGAGCAAUUGCUUCGCUAGUAGAUGGACCUGCGUUGUAUUAGCUAGUUGGUGAGGUAACGGCUCACCAAGGCGACGAUGCAUAGCCGACCUGAGAGGGUGAUCGGCCACACUGGGACUGAGACACGGCCCAGACUCCUACGGGAGGCAGCAGUAGGGAAUCUUCGGCAAUGGGGGCAACCCUGACCGAGCAACGCCGCGUGGAAGUGAAGAAGGUUUUCGGAUCGUAAAGCUCUGUUGUAAGAGAAGAACGUGUGUGAGAGUGGAAAGUUCACACAGUGACGGUAACUUACCAGAAAGGGACGGCUAACUACGUGCCAGCCGCGGC
This 433-nucleotide ribosomal RNA is filed under the name uncultured bacterium. RNAcentral's name for it is "bacterial SSU rRNA". It matches the Rfam family "Bacterial small subunit ribosomal RNA", at positions 99 to 518 of the family's 1533-position model. The record is from RNAcentral.